GACGAACGCUGGCGGCGUGCUUAACACAUGCAAGUCGAACGGAAAGGCCCUGCUUUUGUGGGGUGCUCGAGUGGCGAACGGGUGAGUAACACGUGAGUAACCUGCCCUUGACUUUGGGAUAACGUCAGGAAACUGGGGCUAAUACCGGAUAGGAGCUCCUGCUGCAUGGUGGGGGUUGGAAAGUUUCGGCGGUUGGGGAUGGACUCGCGGCGUAUCAGCUUGUUGGUGGGGUAGUGGCUUACCAAGGCUUUGACGGGUAGCCGGCCUGAGAGGGUGACCGGCCACAUUGGGACUGAGGUACGGCCCAGACUCCUACGGGAGGCAGCAGUGGGGAAUAUUGCACAAUGAGCGGAAGCCUGAUGCAGCAACGCCGCGUGCGGGAUGACGGCCUUCGGGUUGUAAACCGCUUUCGCCUGUGACGAAGCGUGAGUGACGGUAAUGGGUAAAGAAGCACCGGCUAACUACGUG
Molecule: ribosomal RNA, 468 nt
Filed under: uncultured bacterium
Lineage: Bacteria
Description: partial 16S ribosomal RNA
Rfam family: Bacterial small subunit ribosomal RNA
Source: RNAcentral